GGGCCAUUGAUUUUGGUAUCCAACACCCAACAGUUCAAAGUAUGGUAACAUUUUCUAGGUCCUUCUGGCCCAGCUAGGACAUCUGGCCUGAAGUCUCACAAUGGAGAGAGGCUGUUUCUUCUUCAAGUCCUGUCAAACAACAAGGAUUUCCUGAUCCCUGUUACAUUAUCUCCAAAGCAGAUAACAGCAUUGAGGAAUUAAGUGAAUGCAGAACUAAGACAAUCAUUCAGAAGAGCCACCCCACGGCCUUCCUCAGAAGCCUUCGGGAAACAUCAUGCAGUGUCCUCCUUUAAACUGAGUGUUUAUCUUCAUUCUUUAUGUUACUGAUAUUCAACUGUCCUAUGGCCAUUCUUAGCAAUAUAGAUGUUCCUGUAGGUCAAAGAAUGGAAAGCAACUUCAGAGAAAGGCAAAAAUGGAAGGAGAAUGCAGGCCAGAAGUUAGCCUAUUUAUACGUGAAAACAACAGCUAAUCCCCUGGGCAUGGAGUGGGGAGCUUAAAUCAUACCACUUUAGCAAGACCCACCAUGCUUCCCUGCCUUGGUGACUGAUGUCUUUCCUAGGAUGCUUUUGAAUCACAAGCAAUGUGAGCCAAUAUCUACAAAGCUCCUGAUGCUGCAUACGUUGAAGGCAGAAGAGUGGUUUGAUAACGGACUGUCUAAUAGUCACCACCAGAUGAUUCCUACGAUCUCCUGUGACCUUCAAAGUGGGCCCAUAUACCCUGCGGGAAGUAUAAGGAACUCCACUGGGAUGCUGGAAGGAAAUAAUAGAACUUCUGUUUAUACUUUAUUUUUCAUCUCAUCCUUUUGUAAUUUCUAUUUUUGUGUAUGCUUUACGAUAUAAAUACCAUAUAGGAGCUUAUGUCUAUAAUUUAUAAGUAAAUAAAUGCACAUUGGGGUGCAUGCUCAAAUGUUUGAUUGAUGGAGCAUACAAUCAAGCUUGGUGACACCAUUCUGAUCAGUAAGGGUAGAAAUAUUUCAAUAGAGCAAGCUAGAUGAAACCCUGGGGAUGCCAUAACAAGAGCAGCAGACCACUUUGCCUUCCCUGCCUUGGUGUAGAAUGGUGUAGUGGGAAAAUGUUGCCGACCCUUCCUUAGGGUCUAGUGUUCUCUUCAGUGUGGAGUUACGGGAAGUCCCUCUUUUGGGGCUCUGCCAUCAGGUCUCAUGACAUGUCGAAUUAAAGGACUUCCUGGUGCUUCACUCAAAUGUCUACCUGGAGUCAUUGCCCUCAGCUCUAACUUGUGGAGAUGUAUCUGCCCUUCUGUUUCUGCUGCUUGGAAACUGCUAGAACGUGCUGCCUGGCCACCUUCGAACUCCAUCCCCACUGCUGGGCACUGACGCAGAGGCAUCCUUCCCCAGGCCUUGUUGGCGUCUUGUUUCAAAGAGGCACAGAACAAUGUCUCCUCAAAGCCAACGGGCUCUGGUGUCCUCCUGUCCCAUGGGGCCUGAACCCCUGCAAGUGCCCCUGCAGUUUGGUGGGAGUGAGACAGCAGAGUGCCCCAGGCUGGGCUGGCCACACAGCUGAGGCCCACAAGCCUACCAGCUGCCGCAUGGCAGAGGUGAAGCAUCUCUGCCCUUUUCCAUCUCUAGCGAGCAUCCCCAGCCUGGGCCCAGGUUGAAACCCCCUUUUUGGUUUCUCCCUUCAGGUCCUCACAAUGGCACCCUGGUGGUUGGCCCUGAGGGUCAGGCAGCUUGCUGUGUUCAGGCUCAUUCAUUGCCUCUGAUGCUAACUUUUGUUUGUUUGUUUGUUUGAGGAAGAUUAGCCCUGAGCUAACAUCUGCCACCAAUCCUCUUCUUUUUUGCAGAGGAAGGCCAGCCCUGAGCUAACAUG
Long non-coding RNA from Equus quagga, 1826 nucleotides. RefSeq lists it as uncharacterized. NCBI's taxonomy places the organism in Eukaryota, Metazoa, Chordata, Mammalia, Perissodactyla, Equidae. The transcript has 3 exons. The record is from RefSeq and is a predicted model, not a curated record.